Molecule: ribosomal RNA, 471 nt
Filed under: Triticum aestivum (bread wheat)
Lineage: Eukaryota; Viridiplantae; Streptophyta; Magnoliopsida; Poales; Poaceae
Description: partial small subunit ribosomal RNA
Source: RNAcentral
AUGGCCACUACUACAAUAAUAUAUGUAGCUAUGGUUCUCGCCGUGUUUGCCGUCAUGUCCUAUUCAGCCCACGCCGACGACGACUUCAUCUCCCGCACAUGCAAGAAGACCAAGAAUGCUGAAUUGUGUGUGGACGUGCUCCACCAAAAUAUAGAUAGCGACGACGCCUCCAGCGAGCUCGACCUCGCCAACAUCUCGCUAAAAAUAGCCAGUGCUACCGCUGACUUAAACGUCGAGUACACCAAAGACUGGGUCAGGCACAGCCGCCACAAGCCCCAGCGGGGAGCGUUGGUUGCCUGCCGCUUGGCAUAUGCUGACGCUGUAAAUGACCUUAAGCUUCGCGCCAUACCCAAGUUCCACAGCGGGGACUAUGCUGGCGCGAUAAAGCAUGUGUUGGCUGCUAAAGGCGCCGCUGAUGCUUGCGAGAACGCGUUCAAGUGGAUCAAACUGGAGCCGAGACAGCCGAGCUAG